UACAGAGGUCUCAAGCGUUGUUCGGAAUUACUGGGCGUAAAGGGUGCGCAGGCCGCGCGGGCAGUCAAAUGUGUAAUUCAGGGGCUCAACCCCUGCACUGCGCUUGAUACUUCCGCGCUCGAGCUUUGGAGAGGAGUCUGGAAUUCCCGGUGUAGCGGUGAAAUGUGUAGAGAUCGGGAGGAACACCGGUGGCGAAGGCGGGUCUCUGGGCAAUUCCUGACGCUGAGGCGCGAAAGCGUGGGGAGCAAACAGG
Molecule: ribosomal RNA, 253 nt
Filed under: uncultured bacterium
Lineage: Bacteria
Description: partial 16S ribosomal RNA
Rfam family: Bacterial small subunit ribosomal RNA
Source: RNAcentral